RNAcentral lists this ribosomal RNA (465 nucleotides) under Vreelandella stevensii. Its description in RNAcentral is "partial 16S ribosomal RNA". It matches the Rfam family "Bacterial small subunit ribosomal RNA", at positions 338 to 795 of the family's 1533-position model. The record is from RNAcentral. Lineage: Bacteria; Pseudomonadati; Pseudomonadota; Gammaproteobacteria; Oceanospirillales; Halomonadaceae.
CCUACGGGUGGCAGCAGUGGGGAAUAUUGGACAAUGGGCGAAAGCCUGAUCCAGCCAUGCCGCGUGUGUGAAGAAGGCCUUCGGGUUGUAAAGCACUUUCAGUGGGGAAGAAAGCCUUGGGGCUAAUACCCUCGAGGAAGGACAUCACCCACAGAAGAAGCACCGGCUAACUCCGUGCCAGCAGCCGCGGUAAUACGGAGGGUGCGAGCGUUAAUCGGAAUUACUGGGCGUAAAGCGCGCGUAGGCGGUCUGAUAAGCCGGUUGUGAAAGCCCCGGGCUCAACCUGGGAACGGCAUCCGGAACUGUCAGGCUAGAGUGCAGGAGAGGAAGGUAGAAUUCCCGGUGUAGCAGUGAAAUGCGUAGAGAUCGGGAGGAAUACCAGUGGCGAAGGCGGCCUUCUGGACUGACACUGACGCUGAGGUGCGAAAGCGUGGGUAGCAAACAGGAUUAGAUACCCGAGUAGUC